UAGAGUUUGAUCCAUGGCUCAGAUUGAACGCUGGCGGCAGGCCUAACACAUGCAAGUCGAGCGGAUGACAGGAGCUUGCUCCUGAAUUCAGCGGCGGACGGGUGAGUAAUGCCUAGGAAUCUGCCUGGUAGUGGGGGACAACGUUUCGAAAGGAACGCUAAUACCGCAUACGUCCUACGGGAGAAAGCAGGGGACCUUCGGGCCUUGCGCUAUCAGAUGAGCCUAGGUCGGAUUAGCUAGUUGGUGAGGUAAUGGCUCACCAAGGCGACGAUCCGUAACUGGUCUGAGAGGAUGAUCAGUCACACUGGAACUGAGACACGGUCCAGACUCCUACGGGAGGCAGCAGUGGGGAAUAUUGGACAAUGGGCGAAAGCCUGAUCCAGCCAUGCCGCGUGUGUGAAGAAGGUCUUCGGAUUGUAAAGCACUUUAAGUUGGGAGGAAGGGCAGUAACUUAAUACGUUGCUGUUUUGACGUUACCGACAGAAUAAGCACCGGCUAAC
RNAcentral lists this ribosomal RNA (500 nucleotides) under Pseudomonas sp. 01WB04.4-48. RNAcentral's name for it is "bacterial SSU rRNA". It matches the Rfam family "Bacterial small subunit ribosomal RNA", at positions 1 to 501 of the family's 1533-position model. Lineage: Bacteria; Pseudomonadati; Pseudomonadota; Gammaproteobacteria; Pseudomonadales; Pseudomonadaceae. The record is from RNAcentral.